This 252-nucleotide ribosomal RNA is filed under the name uncultured bacterium. RNAcentral's name for it is "partial 16S ribosomal RNA". It matches the Rfam family "Bacterial small subunit ribosomal RNA", at positions 524 to 776 of the family's 1533-position model. The record is from RNAcentral.
UACGUAGGGGGCAAGCGUUAUCCGGAAUCACUGGGCGUAAAGGGUGCGUAGGCGGCCGAUUAAGUCUGGGGUGUAAGGCUACGGCUCAACCGUAGUAAGCCUUGGAAAAUUAUUGGCUUGAGUGCAGGAGUGGAGAGUGGAAUUCCUAGUGUAGCGGUGAAAUGCGUAGAUAUUAGGAGGAACACCAGUGGCGAAGGCGACUCACUGGACUGUAACUGCCGCUGAGGCACGAAAGCGUGGGGAGCGAACAGG